Molecule: long non-coding RNA, 346 nt
Organism: Bombyx mori (domestic silkworm)
Lineage: Eukaryota; Metazoa; Arthropoda; Insecta; Lepidoptera; Bombycidae
Exons: 2
Source: RefSeq, a predicted model, not a curated record
AGAAGGUUAAUGUGUUUAUCAGUUAGUUUAUGUAAGUAUUAUAGGUAAAAGAAAAGUAUAUAUAUAAUUACUUUUUUUUCGCGACAUUUACCUUGUAAUAUCUGCUCGGUCGUAUGUUCUUUAUAGCAAUAAAAAAAAUUAAAAGUUAAAAGAACUCAAACGAAUCAAAACUUCGCGUCGAAUCAUGAUUUUGUUAACAUUCACAACGCACACACAAAUAAAAACAGGCCUCAGAUUUUAAAUGUAACAUUAAUUAAAAAUCCGAGAUAUCCAAUUAUGAAGUUGUGAUUUUUAAGGAAAUUAAAUAAUAAUUUUCUAAAAUAUAACAUGCACAUACUUUUUUUGA